AUUGAACGCUGGCGGCAGGCCUAACACAUGCAAGUCGAACGGUAACAGGAAACAGCUUGCUGUUUCGCUGACGAGUGGCGGACGGGUGAGUAAUGUCUGGGAAACUGCCUGAUGGAGGGGGAUAACUACUGGAAACGGUAGCUAAUACCGCAUAACGUCGCAAGACCAAAGAGGGGGACCUUCGGGCCUCUUGCCGUCGGAUGUGCCCAGAUGGGAUUAGCUAGUAGGUGGGGUAACGGCUCACCUAGGCGACGAUCCCUAGCUGGUCUGAGAGGAUGACCAGCCACACUGGAACUGAGACACGGUCCAGACUCCUACGGGAGGCAGCAGUGGGGAAUAUUGCACAAUGGGCGCAAGCCUGAUGCAGCCAUGCCGCGUGUAUGAAGAAGGCCUUCGGGUUGUAAAGUACUUUCAGCGGGGAGGAAGGGAGUAAAGUUAAUACCUUUACUCAUUGACGUUACCCGCAGAAGAAGCACCGGCUAACUCCGUG
This 490-nucleotide ribosomal RNA is filed under the name uncultured bacterium. Its description in RNAcentral is "partial 16S ribosomal RNA". It matches the Rfam family "Bacterial small subunit ribosomal RNA", at positions 30 to 507 of the family's 1533-position model. The record is from RNAcentral.